GACGAACGCUGGCGGCGUGCUUAACACAUGCAAGUCGAACGGAAAGGCCCUGCUUUUGUGGGGUGCUCGAGUGGCGAACGGGUGAGUAACACGUGAGUAACCUGCCCUUGACUUUGGGAUAACUUCAGGAAACUGGGGCUAAUACCGGAUAGGAGCUCCUGCUGCAUGGUGGGGGUUGGAAAGUUUCGGCGGUUGGGGAUGGACUCGCGGCUUAUCAGCUUGUUGGUGGGGUAGUGGCUUACCAAGGCUUUGACGGGUAGCCGGCCUGAGAGGGUGACCGGCCACAUUGGGACUGAGAUACGGCCCAGACUCCUACGGGAGGCAGCAGUGGGGAAUAUUGCACAAUGGGCGGAAGCCUGAUGCAGCAACGCCGCGUGCGGGGUGACGGCCUUCGGGUUGUAAACCGCUUUCGCCUGUGACGAAGCGUGGGUGACGGUAAUGGGUAAAGAAGCACCGGCUAACUACGUG
RNAcentral lists this ribosomal RNA (468 nucleotides) under uncultured bacterium. RNAcentral describes it as "partial 16S ribosomal RNA". It matches the Rfam family "Bacterial small subunit ribosomal RNA", at positions 28 to 507 of the family's 1533-position model. The record is from RNAcentral.